This 164-nucleotide ribosomal RNA is filed under the name uncultured bacterium. RNAcentral describes it as "partial 16S rRNA". It matches the Rfam family "Bacterial small subunit ribosomal RNA", at positions 355 to 511 of the family's 1533-position model. The record is from RNAcentral.
UAGGGAAUCUUCGGCAAUGGACGAAAGUCUGACCGAGCAACGCCGCGUGAGUGAAGAAGGUUUUCGGAUCGUAAAACUUUGUUGUUAGAGAAGAACAAGGGUGAGAGUAACUGUUCACCCCUUGACGGUAUCUAACCAGAAAGCCACGGCUAACUACGUGUCAG